RNAcentral lists this ribosomal RNA (1383 nucleotides) under uncultured bacterium. RNAcentral's name for it is "bacterial SSU rRNA". It matches the Rfam family "Bacterial small subunit ribosomal RNA". The record is from RNAcentral.
AGAGUUUGAUCCUGGCUCAGGACGAACGCUGGCGGCGCGCCUAACACAUGCAAGUCGAACGAGAGAUGAGGAGCUUGCUCUUCAAAUCGAGUGGCGAACGGGUGAGUAACGCGUGAGGAACCUGCCUCAAAGAGGGGGACAACAGUUGGAAACGACUGCUAAUACCGCAUAAGCCCACGGUACCGCAUGGCACUGAGGGAAAAGGAUUUAUUCGCUUUAGGAUGGACUCGCGUCCAAUUAGCUAGUUGGUGAGGUAACGGCCCACCAAGGCGACGAUUGGUAGCCGGACUGAGAGGUUGAACGGCCACAUUGGGACUGAGACACGGCCCAGACUCCUACGGGAGGCAGCAGUGGGGGAUAUUGCACAAUGGGGGAAAUCCUGAUGCAGCGACGCCGCGUGGAGGAAGAAGGUUUUCGGAUUGUAAACUCCUGUCGUUAGGGACGAUAAUGACGGUACCUAACAAGAAAGCACCGGCUAACUACGUGCCAGCAGCCGCGGUAAAACGUAGGGUGCAAGCGUUGUCCGGAAUUACUGGGUGUAAAGGGAGCGCAGGCGGGAAGACAAGUUGGAAGUGAAAACCAUGGGCCCAACCCAUGAAUUGCUUUCAAAACUGUUUUUCUUGAGUAGUGCAGAGGUAGAUGGAAUUCCCGGUGUAGCGGUGGAAUGCGUAGAUAUCGGGAGGAACACCAGUGGCGAAGGCGGUCUACUGGGCACCAACUGACGCUGAGGCUCGAAAGCAUGGGUAGCAAACAGGAUUAGAUACCCUGGUAGUCCAUGCCGUAAACGAUGAUUACUAGGUGUUUGGGGGGAUUGACCCCCUCAGUGGCCGCAGUUAACACAAUUAAGUAAUCCCACCUGGGGGAGUACGACCGCCAGGGUUGAAACUCAAAGGAUAUAGAAGGGAGCCCGCACAAGCAGUAGAGUAUGUGGUUUAAUUUAGAAAGCAACGCGAAGAACCUUACCAGGUCUUGACAUCCGAUGCAUAGCGCAGAGAUGUGGGAAAUCCUUCGAGACAUCGAGACAGGUGGAGCAUGGUUGUCAUCAGCUCGUGUCGUGAGAUGUUGGGUUAAGUCCCGCAACGAGCGCAACCCUUAUUGCCAGUUACAACGUUAAAGAGGACUCUGGCGAGACUGCCGUUGACAAAACGGAGGAAGGUGGGGAUGACGUCAAAUCAUCAUGCCCUUUAUGACCUGGGCUACACACGUACUACAAUGGCGUUAAACAAAGAGAAGCAAGACCGCGAGGUGGAGCAAAACUCAAAAACAACGUCUCAGUUCAGAUUGCAGGCUGCAACUCGCCUGCAUGAAGUCGGAAUUGCUAGUAAUCGCGGAUCAGCAUGCCGCGGUGAAUACGUUCCCGGGCCUUGCACAAACCGCCCGUCA